RNAcentral lists this unclassified non-coding RNA (371 nucleotides) under soil metagenome. RNAcentral's name for it is "partial contains 5.8S ribosomal RNA, internal transcribed spacer 2, and large subunit ribosomal RNA". The stretch from base 1 to 120 matches the Rfam family "5.8S ribosomal RNA", at positions 35 to 154 of the family's 154-position model. The record is from RNAcentral.
GAUGAAGAACGCAGCGAAAUGCGAUAAGUAAUGUGAAUUGCAGAAUUCAGUGAAUCAUCGAAUCUUUGAACGCACAUUGCGCCCCCUGGAAUUCCGGGGGGCAUGCCUGUUCGAGCGUCUCAGGGACGAACCCUCGCGCGGGUGUACGCGCGGUCGUGGCUGCGGUGGCGUGCCCGAGGCGGCGGCCACCGCGCGGGAAUCCAUGGGCGGACGCCUGCCGCGUGGCCGAGCGUGAUAUGACGCAUUGGCGCUCGCACGCGGCGAGGCUGCCAGCCCUGGCCCGUCUGUCGGGCGGGGGAGAGCAAGACACGUGAACUCCUCGAAUCAGGUAGGGAUACCCGCUGAACUUAAGCAUAUCAAUAAGCGGAGGA